This 458-nucleotide ribosomal RNA is filed under the name uncultured bacterium. RNAcentral's name for it is "bacterial SSU rRNA". It matches the Rfam family "Bacterial small subunit ribosomal RNA", at positions 340 to 786 of the family's 1533-position model. The record is from RNAcentral.
UACGGAAGGCAGCAGUGGGGAAUAUUGCACAAUGGGCGAAAGCCUGAUGCAGCUAUGCCGCGUGUAUGAAGAAGGCCUUAGGGUUGUAAAGUACUUUCAGCAGGGAGGAAAGAAAUAAAACUAAUAAUUUUAUUUUGUGACGUUACCUGAAGAAGAAGCACCGGCUAACUCCGUGCCAGCAGCCGCGGUAAUACGGAGGGUGCAAGCGUUAAUCAGAAUUACUGGGCGUAAAGAGCGCGUAGGUGGUUUUUUUAAGUCAGAUGUGAAAUCCCCUAGGCUUAACCUAGGAACUGCAUUUUGAAACUGAAAAACUAGAGUAUCGUAGAGGGAGGUAGAAUUCUAGGUGUAGCGGUGAAAUGCGUAGAUAUCUGGAGGAAUACCUGUGGCGAAAGCGGCCUCCUAAACGAAUACUGACACUGAGGUGCGAAAGCGUGGGGAGCAAACAGGGAUUAGAUACC